Molecule: long non-coding RNA, 668 nt
Organism: Myotis myotis
Lineage: Eukaryota; Metazoa; Chordata; Mammalia; Chiroptera; Vespertilionidae
Exons: 3
Source: RefSeq, a predicted model, not a curated record
CCAGUGUCCGGCUGUUGCACGUUAGGCAGGUCGCUCCCCAUGCACAUCUGCAUCAGAACCGAAGGAAAAGGAAGUGAGGUCUCCCAGGAAGCGACGAAGCCCAGGGCUGCCGACUGGAUGGUGACAAUGAAGAAUAUGAAGACAUCUCCAGCAAAAUUCUCGCUCAGGGAUCGUGCGUUGUCAUGCCAGUCAUAAACUCUGACAUAAACCCGGGAGCCUGGCAUUAUUCCUGCGAGAUAAAGAUCAGCGGCUCAACCCACUCCAGAUUCCAGCUGGCGGGCGGGCCGGCGCUUGGCUCCAGGCAGUGGGCGUGGAGCCGGCACAGCGGACACAGUCGGGAAGCUCCAGGCCGACGUUUUGCAAGCAUAUCUUUCUGGGAACAGAGUCCACGGUCCCGGGAGGAUCUCUGGCGAGCUCGCUGCCUUGUUUCCGUGCGAGGCACCGACGGCUGGGCGGGUUGUGGUUUCAUGGCUCCAAUGUUUGUGUUGGAAGCGUGAACUGUGCACAGGUGUUUCAGGUAGAACCAAAUCCCCUUCCUCUUUCCUGAGGGUGACUUCCAACAACUCCCACAGGGCUGUUAACCGUCGAAUUUCAGAGAGACUCGCAACGCUGUUCUCCUCUAUCCCCUCCUCUCCUCCACCCCGGGGACUCCAGUUAGCUCUGCAGGC